This is a regulatory RNA element of Pseudomonas sp. 21C1, 265 nucleotides long. It matches the Rfam family "rne-II RNA". NCBI's taxonomy places the organism in Bacteria, Pseudomonadati, Pseudomonadota, Gammaproteobacteria, Pseudomonadales, Pseudomonadaceae. The record is from Rfam.
AUACGUGUAGGGUGGAGAUGUACAGCCGCUGGUCUGCGUAGCUUUAUUGAAGACGCUUCAUCUCGUCCGCUACCAGCAGCUGAUUCCUCCUCCUGACUAGUGCUUACUGUCACAACAGCGAGCAGGAGACGUCUGUCGCGGCCCAGCCCAACUGGCUGACUGCCGCUUGACGAUGAAGCGAUUUACGACCGUUUCUGACGCGCCUGACACCGACCCCUGAGAGUCGUGUGUGCCGAACGCCCUUUCCAGCAGCACUGGAAACCGA